GAAAUACGAUAAGUAGUAUAAAUUAUAGAAUUUAGUAAAUUAUCGAAUCUUUAAACGCAUAUUACGCCCCUUGGUAUUCUGUGGGGCAUGCCUAUUUGAGCGUUAUCUACACCCUUAAGCUCUGCUUAGUGUUAGGUGUCUAUCCCGCCUUCGCGCGUGGACUUGCCUUAAAUAUAUUAGUAGCGGUCCUUGCCCCCUCCCGCGUAGCACAUUACGCUUCUCGAGGCUGCGGCGGCCUGCGUCUAAUAAGCUGAACCCCCCCGUUUGACCUCGGAUUAGGUAGGGAUACCCGCUGAACUUAAGU
Molecule: unclassified non-coding RNA, 304 nt
Filed under: plant metagenome
Description: partial contains 5.8S ribosomal RNA, internal transcribed spacer 2, and large subunit ribosomal RNA
Rfam family: 5.8S ribosomal RNA (bases 1-105)
Source: RNAcentral